UGUAGUGACACUGCCGCGAACUGACGGAAUAGUUCGUUAAAGACUGUAGGUAUUGGAAUGGUAGGCAAAUCCGCCAAUCUAGCUGAACGUCGAUAGUACCGCAAGCCUUCGGGUAAGUGGAUGGCGCAGGUAAUCAGACUUCCAAGAAAAACCGCUAAGCUCCAGUCUAUAAAAACCCGUACCGCAAACCGACACAGGUAUCCGGGAAGAGAAUUCUAAGGUGCUCGAGUGAAUCAUGGCUAAGGAACUCGGCAAAAUGGCCCUGUAACUUCGGGAGAAGGGGCGCUGGUAGCAAUACCAGCCGCAGUGAAAAGGCCCAGGCGACUGUUUAACAAAAACACAUGGCUUUGCAAAAUCGAAAGAUGAAGUAUAAGGCCUGACACCUGCCCGGUGCUGGAAGGUUAAGAGGGGAUGUCAUACGCAAGUAGAAGCAUUGAAUCGAAGCCCCAGUAAACGGCGGCCGUAACAAUAACGGUCCUAAGGUAGCGAAAUUCCUUGUCGGGUAAGUUCCGACCUGCACGAAUGGUGUAACGAUCUGGGCGCUGUCUCAGCCAUGAGCUCGGUAAAAUUGUGGUCCCGGUGAAGACGCCGGGUACCCGCAACGGGACGGAAAGACCCCAUGCACCUUCACUACAAUUUAACAUUGACAUUGGAUACAGGAUGUGUAGGAUAGGUGGGAGGCUUUGAAGCGGCGUCGCUAGGCGUCGUGGAGCCAACGUUGAAAUACCACCCUUUCUGUAUUCGGUGUCUAACCCCGCUCAGCGGGGGACAUUGUUUGAUGGGUAGUUUGACUGGGGUGGUCGCCUCCAAAAAGGUAACGGAGGCUUUCAAAGGUAAGCUCAGUACGCUUGGUAACCGUACGUGGAGUGCAAUAGCAUAAGCUUGCUUGACUGUGAGGCAGACAAGCCGAGCAGGGUCGAAAGACGGAUAUAGUGAUCCGGUGGUUCUGCAUGGAAGGGCCAUCGCUCAAAGGAUAAAAGGUACGCUGGGAUAACAGGCUGAUCUCCCCCAAGAGCUCAUAUCGACGGGGAGGUUUGGCACCUCGAUGUCGGCUCGUCACAUCCUGGGGCUGGAGAAGGUCCCAAGGGUUCGGCUGUUCGCCGAUUAAUGUGGCACGCGAGCUGGGUUCAGAACGUCGCGAGACAGUUCGGUCCCUAUCUGUUGUGGGCGUAGGAAUUUUGAGUGGGGCUGACCUUAGUACGAGAGGACCGGGUUGGACUAGCCUCUAGUGAAUCUGUUGUUCCGCCAGGGGCAUUGCAGAGUAGCUACGCUGGGAAUAGAUAAGCGCUGAAAGCAUCUAAGUGCGAAACUAGCCACGAGAUGAGAAUUCCAUAUAGGGCCGUAGAAGACUACUACGUUGAUAGGAUAUAGAUGUAAAGCUGGCGACAGCAUAGUCGAGUAUUACUAAUAACCC
This 1414-nucleotide ribosomal RNA is filed under the name metagenome. Its description in RNAcentral is "bacterial LSU rRNA". It matches the Rfam family "Bacterial large subunit ribosomal RNA", at positions 1473 to 2910 of the family's 2925-position model. The record is from RNAcentral.